RNAcentral lists this ribosomal RNA (424 nucleotides) under uncultured bacterium. RNAcentral's name for it is "partial 16S ribosomal RNA". It matches the Rfam family "Bacterial small subunit ribosomal RNA", at positions 360 to 776 of the family's 1533-position model. The record is from RNAcentral.
AAUUUUGGACAAUGGGGGAAACCCUGAUCCAGCAAUGCCGCGUGCAGGAUGAAGGCCUUCGGGUUGUAAACUGCUUUUGUACGGAACGAAAAGUCUUGGGCUAAUACCUUGGGCUCAUGCCGGUACCGCAAGAAUAAGCACCGGCUACCUACGUUCCAGCAUCCGCGGUAAUACGUAGGGUUCAAGCGUUAAUCGGAAUUACCGGGCGUAAAGCGUGCGCAGGCGGUUUUGUAAGACAGUGGUGAAAUCCCCGGGCUCAACCUGGGAACUGCCAUUGUGACUGCAAGGCUGGAGUGCGGCAGAGGGGGAUGGAAUUCCGCGGGUAGCAGCGAAAUGCGUAGAUAUGCGGAGGAACACCGAUGGCGAAGGCAAUCCCCUGGGCCUGCACUGACGCUCAUGCACGAAAGCGUGGGGAGCAAACAGG